UCUCCAUUUUCAUCGAUCCAUCUCCAUUUUCAUCGAUCCAGACAUAGGGUUAGUCCACGAAAAGGCUUCACAUAUGGUUAUAUUUAGUUGAUUAAAUAAAAAAGAAGUUUAUGAAACUGUAUAUAUUAUAAUUUAGCUAUAACUAUUCUUCCAACAUUUUUGAAUUUUUAAACACAUGCACAUGACAGAUUACACACAGAAAGAGAGAGGAAAAGGAAGAGUUUGCUAGCAAAACUUCUCCUUUUGCACAUCUACAUUACCAGAAGGUAUCCACGUAACAGAAUCACGCGAAUAUACAGAAACGUUUCUUCAGACUAAUGCACAGAAUUGAAAACCAUCUGGGGUUUCUUCAUGACAUGAAGAAGAGGAACUAUUCUUCACAGUUGAAGUUUCAGAAUAGAAUUCUGAAACCGUAAAACUUCUAAUUAGAUCAGUAAUAGAUUCUCACUCUCAGAGUGCCUAAAUAGCCAUUUCUUGCACAUCAGUUUACUCGUCAUUGAUGCUCUUCUCCAAUAACUAAUUCAAACACUCUCAUUCUUCCAUCAGCUUACUUGUCAUUCUUCCAACUGAAAGUAGAAUCUCAUAUGAAAAUCUUCCAGC
Molecule: unclassified non-coding RNA, 600 nt
Filed under: Hevea brasiliensis (rubber tree)
Lineage: Eukaryota; Viridiplantae; Streptophyta; Magnoliopsida; Malpighiales; Euphorbiaceae
Source: RNAcentral